ACAUUCAAGCAUCGCAUUUUCUCUUUCUAUGUAAACCUUAAGCUCUUUCAUUUUACGUACACUCUCGUUUUCGAUCCUUAUAUACUUUUGAAAUAGCAGCAAUAUGCUACUAUCCCUUUUAAAGAGCAACUAUCAGCUGAAGAACGAUUGAUAUAUACAUGAAUCGUUGUACAAAACGCCAGGACUUGUUUUCGACACAAGGAUAGCAUCGAAUAACGGAACAGACGUCGCAAAUAGACAAGUUCGCCUGCUAUCGUGGACUUCCCAACAACAAAGCUGGCGACCGCAAAGUGGAAGACUUUCUAUGUUGCCUAACGAUAGAUCGCGUUCCCUCUAUUCUCGAGAGUUCAGUCUAGUUUUCCUUUUUUUCCUUUCUUUCUUUAUUAUAUAAGGUCAACUACCUCUAAAAACGAAGAAAGCCAUCCGUUGACUAACUAUAUAGGAACCUAUUUAACCCGUUUAUCGACUCGAUGGAACUUUUCUUAUUAUUCUCUUAGAUUUAUUUUGAAA
Molecule: long non-coding RNA, 510 nt
Organism: Vespula pensylvanica (western yellowjacket)
Lineage: Eukaryota; Metazoa; Arthropoda; Insecta; Hymenoptera; Vespidae
Exons: 2
Source: RefSeq, a predicted model, not a curated record